This 600-nucleotide ribosomal RNA is filed under the name uncultured bacterium. RNAcentral describes it as "bacterial SSU rRNA". It matches the Rfam family "Bacterial small subunit ribosomal RNA", at positions 736 to 1340 of the family's 1533-position model. The record is from RNAcentral.
UUAACUGACGCUAAAGCUCGAAGGUGCGGGUAUCGAACAGGAUUAGAUACCCUGGUAGUCCGCACGGUAAACGAUGGAUGCCCGCUGUCGGCGACAGACUGUCGGCGGCCAAGCGAAAGCGUUAAGCAUCCCACCUGGGGAGUACGCCGGCAACGGUGAAACUCAAAGGAAUUGACGGGGGCCCGCACAAGCGGAGGAACAUGUGGUUUAAUUCGAUGAUACGCGAGGAACCUUACCCGGGCUUGAACUGCAGGAGAACGAUCCAGAGAUGGUGAGGCCCUUCGGGGCUCCUGUGGAGGUGCUGCAUGGUUGUCGUCAGCUCGUGCCGUGAGGUGUCGGCUUAAGUGCCAUAACGAGCGCAACCCCUUUCGCCAGUUGCCAUCAGGUGAUGCUGGGCACUCCGGCGACACUGCCACCGUAAGGUGUGAGGAAGGUGGGGAUGACGUCAAAUCAGCACGGCCCUUACGUCCGGGGCUACACACGUGUUACAAUGGGUGGUACAGAGAGUCAGCGGCCGGCAACGUCCGCUCAAUCAAGAAAGCCAUCCUCAGUUCGGAUUGGGGUCUGCAACCCGACCCCAUGAAGCUGGAUUCGCUAGUA